Molecule: ribosomal RNA, 250 nt
Filed under: uncultured bacterium
Lineage: Bacteria
Description: partial 16S ribosomal RNA
Rfam family: Bacterial small subunit ribosomal RNA
Source: RNAcentral
UACGGAGGGUGCAAGCGUUAAUCGGAAUUACUGGGCGUAAAGCGCACGUAGGCGGUUUGUUAAGCAAGAUGUGAAAGCCCAGGGCUCAACCUUGGAAUAGCAUUUUGAACUGGCAGGCUAGAGUUUUGAAGAGGGUGGUAGAAUUUCCAGUGUAGCGGUGAAAUGCGUAGAUAUUGGAAGGAAUACCAGUGGCGAAGGCGGCCACCUGGUCAAGAACUGACGCUGAGGAGCGAAAGCGUGGGGAGCAAAC